RNAcentral lists this ribosomal RNA (914 nucleotides) under Laccaria sp. RNAcentral describes it as "partial large subunit ribosomal RNA". It matches the Rfam family "Eukaryotic large subunit ribosomal RNA", at positions 69 to 965 of the family's 3401-position model. Lineage: Eukaryota; Fungi; Basidiomycota; Agaricomycetes; Agaricales; Hydnangiaceae. The record is from RNAcentral.
AAGGGAUUCCCCUAGUAACUGCGAGUGAAGCGGGAAAAGCUCAAAUUUAAAAUCUGGCAGUCUUUGGCUGUCCGAGUUGUAAUCUAGAGAAGCAUUAUCCGCGCUGGACCGUGUACAAGUCUCCUGGAAUGGAGCGUCAUAGAGGGUGAGAAUCCCGUCUUUGACACGGACUGCCAGGGCUUUGUGAUGUGCUCUCAAAGAGUCGAGUUGUUUGGGAAUGCAGCUCAAAAUGGGUGGUAAAUUCCAUCUAAAGCUAAAUAUUGGCGAGAGACCGAUAGCGAACAAGUACCGUGAGGGAAAGAUGAAAAGAACUUUGGAAAGAGAGUUAAACAGUACGUGAAAUUGCUGAAAGGGAAACGCUUGAAGUCAGUCGCGUUGGCCAGAGAUCAACCUUGCUUUUUUGCUUGGCUUACUUUCUGGUCGAUGGGUCAGCAUCAAUUUUAACUGGUGGAAAAAGUUCAAGGGAAUGUGGCAUCUUCGGAUGUGUUAUAGCCUUUGUUCACAUACAUUGGUUGGGAUUGAGGAACUCAGCACGCCGAAAGGCCGGGUUUUUUAAACCACGUACGUGCUUAGGAUGCUGGCAUAAUGGCUUUAAUCGACCCGUCUUGAAACACGGACCAAGGAGUCUAACAUGCCUGCGAGUGUUUGGGUGAAAAACCCGAGCGCGUAAUGAAAGUGAAAGUUGAGAUCCCUGUCGUGGGGAGCAUCGACGCCCGGAUCUGACCUUUUGUGACGAUUCUGCGGUAGAGCAUGUAUGUUGGGACCCGAAAGAUGGUGAACUAUGCCUGAAUAGGGUGAAGCCAGAGGAAACUCUGGUGGAGGCUCGUAGCGAUUCUGACGUGCAAAUCGAUCGUCAAAUUUGGGUAUAGGGGCGAAAGACUAAUCGAACCAUCUAGUAGCUGGUUCCUGCCGAA